CGUCUUUUCCCAUGGUGUCUAGCCGAAGUUGGUGAUGUCUGUCUCUCGACCCUGUCCAAGCACUGGCGUUGCCGCAUCGGCAUCCUGCUCCUACAUCUUUGUCGCCCGCACGCCCUGGUCUCCAGCAUCCGAACGCUGCCGUCCCUGCUGCGGACGGGCUCGGUCACGCCGCUAGACGUGCGUGCGCCUCAACCUCACCGACGCUCGCCGUGGAACCUUGCUCGUUGUACUCGCUGUCGUUCCCCGUCCAUGCCGUGAGCUACAGCGUGCUCGUCGUUGCCGCCUCCUCGUCGGCCACGUUCAACCCGGCAGCUCCUUCGUGCCAUCGAUUUCCACGACGCACAACCUCUCCACCAACCUCGUCGUGCUUGCGGUGUCAUCGGGAAGCCGUUAGCCGCCUGCCUUGCCGGUUUGUCGUCGAAUUCUUUUCAGUUGGAAAAUGAUAGCCGAGUGCCUAGUUUAUUUAGUGUCAUUUUCUCCUCCAGUUCCUCACGCCCAGCAAGCCAUCGUGCUCGACGCGCUUCCUUUAUCCGAACUCGCGCAAUUCUCUCGCUUCGUCGUCAUUCGCAGGUAGUGUAAGUAUGAUUAUUUAUUCCAGAUGUAUACAUAGUUGCGAGAGUGUUCGGGGGAAAUUGUUUUGUGAGUGUUUACGGCCGUUUUGUGACUCGCGCCAUCGGAUCAGACCAUGUGAUUUUGUAUGUGUGUCACAGUCGUCUGGUUAGUGGACAAAAGGAAUUAAAUGGUGAAACAAUUAAAGUUCCUGGUAAAAAUAAUCUUAGGAUUUUUGUAGCAAAUAGAUAUUUUCUUUGGUGAAUAGAAAAUGCUUUAAGUGUACUUAUAUGAAUUUUAGUGAUGAAAAUAGAGCACUAAAAAUUGUGGGAAAAUUUGUAUAAGCUUGUCUUGGACAUAUUAUCGAUCUCUUGGGUGAAGUUGAAGUUGUUUGGACAUGGUUUGCUUAGCAAACUAAUUAUUGCUCAAAAUAGAAGGAAGGAUUUCAUCCUUGGUAAUUAGGGCAUAUAGUGUCUUAAUGAUGAGAUGAUGUUACUUAUUGAGUUUGUGGUGUUUGGGUGAAGUCUUAGAUGAAUUGAUUCCCUGGUGGUUGGUAGUUUUAAAGAUACCUUGGUAGACCUCUAAUGUUUUGGCUAGUUUUGUGCACCCUGUAGAAAAGUGUACUCAGGAUGGGUUGUUUAUUACCUUCUUUAUGAAAUGCAUUUCCAUACCAUAGCAAACAUUCAUCUACAUGUAAUUGACUUGUAGAACACCCAGAAGAAGUGGUGUCUGAAGAAGGAGUUCACUUCAGUGCCUGCUGAUCCAGUGGUGGAGUUUCAUCUAACUGCUUACCUGAUUAGAAGGGUUUUAGAUCUUCUCCUGCAAAAAGGCAAGCCCCAGUGCAUUUGCCAUCUUCCUUGUAUUACAAUAUUUUAUCACUUAUAUGUUGCAUUAGGUGAUAGGAGUUGAAUGAUUAAACACUUGAUGCAUUACCAUCCUUCAAAGAUUGAUUAUCAUACCUUGUUACCUGUUUUAUAAAAGCUAGUGAUGCUUAGUCCUGCUUAUAGAUUAAGAAAAAUGUUUUUGAUCUAUGACUCAUGAUUUUUAAAGAAGAAAAAGGGCUUGGAAUGAUGGAGGCAUCCUCCGCGGGGAUGAAUCCAUCAUUCAAGCAAGGUACCUCUGCUAGGUACCAAAUUUUGAGAAUUGCUUAAAAUGAGACCAUACGUCGAGCUGGAGAGGUCGCCCGUCUGUGUCGAUUAAGGAACGUACCGAUUGUAGGCCUGUUAAUCUAGGACCUUUUAGCUGGCCACAUACCUCGUCAUGGGUAAGCCUGAACCCGGCUACUCCAUAUGUGAAAAGACAAUCGCGCACUGGGAGUGGAGAGAUGGCGGGAGUAGCGUGUACCCACUUGACACGUGGCUGGAUGGUGGAGUACCGUACUCUUGGGUGGCGCGGACCGGUUCACGUAGUGGAGGACCCGUGGGAAUGGUAGACAUAUGCAAGGGUUAAGUGCUACAUAUGUCGUGUGGUUGGAGAUCCCCAGCUGGGUAUUAAUCGAUUCGAAUCGCCGUUACUUCUCGGUCAUGAAGACUAGAUCACUACUCUACAUCGUAGAUAACAAGUAUAACAAAGUUUUGGUUAAAAGAAAUCUAGUGUAGGCCAAGUGAAUGAUCUAGAUUAGGAGAAUCUAGAGAUAGAUUAGUAAAUUCAGGUAAUCACUUAACUUGUAAAAUAAAACUUGGCUUAAGGAUCCAUUAUUAGUAAGCUUUUAUGCAAAAAAAGAGUCCUUGGUAAUUGAUAACCUUUUCCCUUGAUUCCCCAAAAGCUAGCAUGCCCUUGAGAGUCUUUUUCUUAGUCGGGUAAGACUUGCUGAGUAAUUCCCUACUCAGGGUUUUAUUCCCUAUGUUGUUGCAGGAAAGAAUUUGAUGACUUGGGCUUUAUUAGUUGCUCCUUAUGGAGGUCUUGAAGCUUAGAUUAUUUAUGUGAAUCUUUUAUUGAAAGGCUUCACCUUUCCAAGUAUUGUAGUUAAGUUAUGCACUCUAAAGACUAUCAGGACUUGUAAUAAUUUUGAUCCCUUUUAUGUUGUAAGACUUGAGUUCUAGAAUGUAAAGUGUAUUUUAUAAAAGUCUUCCGCUCUAUCUCCAAUGUGUGUAUCAAAUGUGAUUACUAUAAUAUGCCUGUUAUGUGGGAGAUUCUUG
RNAcentral lists this long non-coding RNA (2687 nucleotides) under Zea mays. Its description in RNAcentral is "long non-coding RNA (ZMAY_LNC001816)". The record is from RNAcentral. Lineage: Eukaryota; Viridiplantae; Streptophyta; Magnoliopsida; Poales; Poaceae.